UAGGGAAUCUUCGGCAAUGGACGGAAGUCUGACCGAGCAACGCCGCGUGAGUGAAGAAGGUUUUCGGAUCGUAAAGCUCUGUUGUAAGAGAAGAACGAGUGUGAGAGUGGAAAGUUCACACUGUGACGGUAUCUUACCAGAAAGGGACGGCUAACUACGUGCCAGCAGCCGCGGUAAUACGUAGGUCCCGAGCGUUGUCCGGAUUUAUUGGGCGUAAAGCGAGCGCAGGCGGUUAGAUAAGUCUGAAGUUAAAGGCUGUGGCUUAACCAUAGUACGCUUUGGAAACUGUUUAACUUGAGUGCAAGAGGGGAGAGUGGAAUUCCAUGUGUAGCGGUGAAAUGCGUAGAUAUAUGGAGGAACACCGGUGGCGAAAGCGGCUCUCUGGCUUGUAACUGACGCUGAGACUCGAAAGCGUGGGGAGCAAACAGGAUUAGAUACCCUGGUAGUCCACGCCGUAAACGAUGAGUGCUAGGUGUUAGACCCUUUCCGGGGUUUAGUGCCGUAGCUAACGCAUUAAGCACUCCGCCUGGGGAGUACGACCGCAAGGUUG
RNAcentral lists this ribosomal RNA (550 nucleotides) under uncultured bacterium. RNAcentral describes it as "bacterial SSU rRNA". It matches the Rfam family "Bacterial small subunit ribosomal RNA", at positions 355 to 896 of the family's 1533-position model. The record is from RNAcentral.